Molecule: ribosomal RNA, 494 nt
Filed under: uncultured bacterium
Lineage: Bacteria
Description: partial 16S ribosomal RNA
Rfam family: Bacterial small subunit ribosomal RNA
Source: RNAcentral
GAUGAACGCUGGCGGCGUGCCUAAUACAUGCAAGUCGAGCGAACGGACGAGAAGCUUGCUUUUCUGAUGUUAGCGGCGGACGUGUGAGUAACACGUGUAUAACCUACCUAUAAGACUGGGAUAACUUCGGGAAACCGGCGCUAAUACCGGAUAAUAUUUUGAACCGCAUGGUUCAAAAGUGAAAGUCGGUCUUGCUGUCACUUAUAGAUGGAUCUGCGCUGCAUUAGCUAGUUGGUAAGGUAACGGCUUACCAAGGCAACGAUGCAUAGCCGACCUGAGAGGGUGGUCGGCCAGAGUGGGACUGAGGCACGGUCGAGACUCCUACGGGAGGCAGCAGUAGAGGGUCUUCCGCAAUGGGCGAUAGCCUGACGGGGCAGCACCGCGUGAGUAGUGAAGGUCUUCGGGUCGUAAAACUCUGUUAUUAGGGAAGAACAUAUGUGUAAGUAGCUGUGCACAUCUUGACGAUGCCUAAUCAGAAAGCCACGACUAACUAC